RNAcentral lists this unclassified non-coding RNA (308 nucleotides) under Hevea brasiliensis (rubber tree). Lineage: Eukaryota; Viridiplantae; Streptophyta; Magnoliopsida; Malpighiales; Euphorbiaceae. The record is from RNAcentral.
UGAAGGGCUUCCUUCAACAAAGGUUUUGCAUCCAUAACAGUUGUGGCAUCGUAGUUGAUGCCAAUAUAUUUAUCUGCAGCAGGAUUCCACUCCUGGACAUCCAUACCAUUUACGAUACCGCUAAUGCCAGUUCUACGAACGAUGUUAUCCAGCUCCACGCCUCUUUCAACUCCAGAAAUAAGCUCCUGGGCAUAGUAUGGGCUCACAGUCAAAACCCUGUCUGAUUCCAAUAUUCCAGCCUUCAUCCAAUUGAUUUUCCUUCCCCUAAUAGGCUUGUCAUACCCAUCGAUAAAGUCAAAAGAGCUCUU